Molecule: ribosomal RNA, 468 nt
Filed under: uncultured bacterium
Lineage: Bacteria
Description: partial 16S ribosomal RNA
Rfam family: Bacterial small subunit ribosomal RNA
Source: RNAcentral
GACGAACGCUGGCGGCGUGCUUAACACAUGCGAGUCGAACGGAAAGGCCCGGCUUUUGUGGGGUGCUCGAGUGGCGAACGGGUGAGUAACACGUGAGUAACCUGCCCCUGAAUUUGGGAUAAAUUCAGGAAACUGGGGCGAAUACCGGAUAGGAGCUCCUGCUGCACGGGGGGGGUUGGAAAGUUUCGGCGGUUGGGGCUGGACUCGCGGCUUAUGCGCCGGUUGGGGGGGUAGUGGAGUACCAAGUCUUUGACGGGUAGCCGGCCUUGGAGCGUGACCGGCCACCUUGGGACUGCGGUACGGCCCAGUCUCCUACCGGAGGCAGCAGUGGGGAAUCUUGCACAACGGGCGGAAGCCUGAUGCAGCAACGCCGCGUGCGGGAUGACGGCUUUCUGGUGGUAAACCGCUUUCGCCUGUGACGAAGCGUGAGUGACGGUAAUUGGUAAAGAAGCACCGGCUAACUACGUG